GACGAACGCUGGCGGCGUGCUUAACACAUGCAAGUCGAGCGGUAAGGCCCUUUCGGGUACACGAGCGGCGAACGGGUGAGUAACACGUGGGUGACCUGCCCUCAGCUCUGGGAUAAGCCUGGGAAACUGGGUCUAAUACUGGAUAUGACUCCACGGUGCAUGUCGUGGGGUGGAAAGCCUUGUGCGGCUGAGGAUGGGCCCGCGGCCUAUCAGCUUGUUGGUGGGGUGANGGCCUACCAAGGCGACGACGGGUAGCCGGCCUGAGAGGGCGACCGGCCACACUGGGACUGAGACACGGCCCAGACUCCUACGGGAGGCAGCAGUGGGGAAUCUUGCGCAAUGGGCGAAAGCCUGACGCAGCGACGCCGCGUGAGGGAUGACGGCCU
RNAcentral lists this ribosomal RNA (386 nucleotides) under uncultured bacterium. Its description in RNAcentral is "bacterial SSU rRNA". It matches the Rfam family "Bacterial small subunit ribosomal RNA", at positions 28 to 417 of the family's 1533-position model. The record is from RNAcentral.